Molecule: long non-coding RNA, 1450 nt
Organism: Hyla sarda
Lineage: Eukaryota; Metazoa; Chordata; Amphibia; Anura; Hylidae
Exons: 3
Source: RefSeq, a predicted model, not a curated record
CUCAUCAAUAGUUAGCCCCUUGUAACCCCUGUAAUAGUUAAAAUUAUUCAAAUUCAAUGUGUAAAUAUUUGCCGUAAAUAAAGUGUACUUACCUUGUUGUAGUGUCGCAGGACCUGCGGGUCACGUGAUGCGUUCUAAAACUCUAGGUUUUAUGGUUCAAGGACCUUUGGAGGAAGUCAGGUGAUCGCCCACAAUGCAUUGUAACGGUGAGUGACAGCUGACUCGGACCAAUCCAAAACGGCCCUGCCCAUAUAAGGGAGCGGCGGCCAUUACUCUCUCUAUUUCCUCGUGGGCUGCUGAUAGAGGAGGAUCUGCGCAGCUGUCAUCAGCAGUGACUAUGCCCAAGCCUUGCGGCAACAGCCAUCUUACAAAACUGGCUCAUUGUCACUGGUGUAUGCUAUAGCGGAAGUCCUUUUAGAGUGGAGAUCCAGCCAUGGUUCCAGAAGAAAUGUACGAUCCUUAAUCAUGACAAACCAUCGUUGGUCCCAAUCCCUUUGCUAUUGGAUGUCAGGAACCUGAGCAGAGGUCCCCUUCAGUGGAACAGCAUUGAUAUCAAACAAGAAGUUGGUAAAUUGUCCUAGGGGUCUUCAGACAGGCAUGAGAGAAGAAAAAGAAUACAGUACCUAGGUGGUAAAACCUGGAACCAUUAUGAGAGGCUCAGUUAUAUCUUUGUUUUCCUCUAUUCAAGGUUCAGUGAACGAAGCGGCACAUGUGGUGAUCACCCAGAAAAAAUGGAUACUUGUCUGCUCCAAACAGCAGAUGAAGAGAACAUCCAGAGUUUAGAUCAGAAGAAAGUUUUUUUUCUGUAUAGACGAUGCGUUUCGAGUUGUGAAAACCCACUCUUCGUCAUGCUUUCUACUCAAGGCAAUUGAUCAUUUUCAUUGUUUAUCGAAAUGGUCCAAUAUCUUAACAAUACCCAUAAUGACCCCAUAUUUCCAUAGUCAUUAAUAUCAAUAAAUAUUCUUGUCUUCUUUGAUCCUAAAGAAACUCAAAUACGUUAAACGAUCCAAUAAAGAUUUCUGUCCAAAUACAUGUAUUAUCCACCACCAUAUUAGAAUAUUCUCCUUCCAAAGCCUUAAAUAAAAGUCUCACAGGCUAAGGUUAAACCAUUAGUUAGACUUCAAUGUUCAAACAUUGUAAAGCUAUUUUAUAAUUGGAACAAUUUCAGCUCUCGGUUAUUUCCUAAUUAAAUAUUUGUCACCGGGAUUGUUAUUGGUUCAGCAGAAAUGAGGGUUGUAAAAUAAAUAAGGUGGUGUUUCCUCUCAGCCCCGGCUGGUAAAGAGCUCGCGGCUGGGAAUAAUGAACUCGGCGACUCCCGGAGUCAGGAUGUCCAUCUACAAGUGCUAAUUCAGACUGCCAAUACAUUCUCACCAUUGCUUAGUGUCAAGAAAUGCCUAACUCCAAAUGCCAAAGGGUUAAUAAAGCAACAUAUUGCCAGGAUUUCGUGUGA